GACGAACGCUGGCGGCGUGCUUAACACAUGCAAGUCGAACGGAAAGGCCCUGCUUUUGUGGGGUGCUCGAUUGGCGAACGGGUGUGUAACACGUGAGUAUCCUGCCCUUGACUUUGGGAUAACUUCAGGAAACUGGGGCUAAUACCGGAUAGGAGCUCCUGCUGCAUGGUGGUGGUUGGAAAGUUUCGGCGGUUGGGGAUGGAAUCGAGGCUUAUCGGCUUGAUGGUGGGGUAGUGGAUUACCAAGGCUUUGAAGGGUAGCCGGCCUGAGAGGGGGACCGGCCACAUUGGGACUGAGAGACGGCCCAGACUCCUACGGGAGGCAGCAGUGGGGAAUCUUGCACAAUGAGCGGAAGCCAGAUGCAGCAACGCCGCGUGCGGGAUGACGGCCUUCGAGUUGUAAACCGCUUUCGCCUGUAACGAAGCGUGAGUGACGGUAAUGGGUAAAGAAGCACCGGCUAACUACGUG
RNAcentral lists this ribosomal RNA (468 nucleotides) under uncultured bacterium. Its description in RNAcentral is "partial 16S ribosomal RNA". It matches the Rfam family "Bacterial small subunit ribosomal RNA", at positions 28 to 507 of the family's 1533-position model. The record is from RNAcentral.